RNAcentral lists this ribosomal RNA (500 nucleotides) under uncultured bacterium. RNAcentral describes it as "partial 16S ribosomal RNA". It matches the Rfam family "Bacterial small subunit ribosomal RNA", at positions 29 to 523 of the family's 1533-position model. The record is from RNAcentral.
AUUGAACGCUGGCGGCAUGCCUUACACAUGCAAGUCGAACGGCAGCACGGGAGCAAUCCUGGUGGCGAGUGGCGAACGGGUGAGUAAUAUAUCGGAACGUGCCCAGUCGUGGGGGAUAACGCAGCGAAAGCUGUGCUAAUACCGCAUACGAUCUAAGGAUGAAAGCGGGGGAUCGCAAGACCCCGCGCGAUUGGAGCGGCCGAUAGCAGAUGAGGUAGUUGGUGGGGUAAAGGCCCACCAAGGCGACGACCUGUAGCUGGUCUGAGAGGACGACCAGCCACACUGGAAAUGAGACACGGUGCAGACUCCUACGGGAGGCAGCAGUGGGGAAUUUUGGACAAUGGGCGCAAGCCUGAUCCAGCAAUGCCGCGUGCAGGAUGAAGGCCUUCGGGUUGUAAACUGCUUUUGUACGGAACGAAACGGCCCUUUCUAAUACAGGGGGCUAAUGACGGUACCGUAAGAAUAAGCACCGGCUAACUACGUGCCAGCAGCCGCCGUAA